GAGUUUGAUCCUGGCUCAUGACGAACGCUGGCGGCGUGCCUAAUACAUGCAAGUAGAACGCUGAAGAGAGGAGCUUGCUCUUCUUGGAUGAGUUGCGAACGGGUGAGUAACGCGUAGGUAACCUGCCUUGUAGCGGGGGAUAACUAUUGGAAACGAUAGCUAAUACCGCAUAACAAUGGAUGACCCAUGUCAUUUAUUUGAAAGGGGCAAAUGCUCCACUACAAGAUGGACCUGCGUUGUAUUAGCUAGUAGGCGAGGUAACGGCUCACCUAGGCGACGAUACAUAGCCGACCUGAGAGGGUGAUCGGCCACACUGGGACUGAGACACGGCCCAGACUCCUACGGGAGGCAGCAGUAGGGAAUCUUCGGCAAUGGGGGCAACCCUGACCGAGCAACGCCGCGUGAGUGAAGAAGGUUUUCGGAUCGUAAAGCUCUGUUGUAAGUCAAGAACGAGUGUGAGAGUGGAAAGUUCACACUGUGACGGUAGCUUACCAGAAAGGGACGGCUAACUACGUGCCAGCAGCCGCGGUAAUACGUAGGUCCCGAGCGUUGUCCGGAUUUAUUGGGCGUAAAGCGAGCGCAGGCGGUUUGAUAAGUCUGAAGUUAAAGGCUGUGGCUCAACCAUAGUUCGCUUUGGAAACUGUCAAACUUGAGUGCAGAAGGGGAGAGUGGAAUUCCAUGUGUAGCGGUGAAAUGCGUAGAUAUAUGGAGGAACACCGGUGGCGAAAGCGGCUCUCUGGUCUGUAACUGACGCUGAGGCUCGAAAGCGUGGGGAGCGAACAGGAUUAGAUACCCUGGUAGUCCACGCCGUAAACGAUGAGUGCUAGGUGUUGGAUCCUUUCCGGGAUUCAGUGCCGCAGCUAACGCAUUAAGCACUCCGCCUGGGGAGUACGACCGCAAGGUUGAAACUCAAAGGAAUUGACGGGGGCCCGCACAAGCGGUGGAGCAUGUGGUUUAAUUCGAAGCAACGCGAAGAACCUUACCAGGUCUUGACAUCCCGAUGCUAUUUCUAGAGAUAGAAAGUUACUUCGGUACAUCGGUGACAGGUGGUGCAUGGUUGUCGUCAGCUCGUGUCGUGAGAUGUUGGGUUAAGUCCCGCAACGAGCGCAACCCCUAUUGUUAGUUGCCAUCAUUCAGUUGGGCACUCUAGCGAGACUGCCGGUAAUAAACCGGAGGAAGGUGGGGAUGACGUCAAAUCAUCAUGCCCCUUAUGACCUGGGCUACACACGUGCUACAAUGGUUGGUACAACGAGUUGCGAGUCGGUGACGGCAAGCUAAUCUCUUAAAGCCAAUCUCAGUUCGGAUUGUAGGCUGCAACUCGCCUACAUGAAGUCGGAAUCGCUAGUAAUCGCGGAUCAGCACGCCGCGGUGAAUACGUUCCCGGGCCUUGUACACACCGCCCGUCACACCACGAGAGUUUGUAACACCCGAAGUCGGUGAGGUAACCUUUUGGAGCCAGCCGCCUAAGGUGGGAUAGAUGAUUGGGGUGAAGUCGUAACAAGGU
This 1504-nucleotide ribosomal RNA is filed under the name uncultured bacterium. Its description in RNAcentral is "16S ribosomal RNA". It matches the Rfam family "Bacterial small subunit ribosomal RNA". The record is from RNAcentral.